RNAcentral lists this ribosomal RNA (675 nucleotides) under uncultured bacterium. RNAcentral's name for it is "bacterial SSU rRNA". It matches the Rfam family "Bacterial small subunit ribosomal RNA", at positions 138 to 807 of the family's 1533-position model. The record is from RNAcentral.
GGGGGAUAAUCGGGAGAAAUCCCGUCUAAUACCGCGUAAUGCCGCGGGGCUGCAUGGCCCUGCGGCCAAAGGAAGCGAUUCCGGCAACGGAUGGGCAUGCGUGACAUUAGCUAGUUGGCGGGGCAACGGCCCACCAAGGCGACGAUGUCUAGGGGUUCUGAGAGGAAGGUCCCCCACACUGGUACUGAAACACGGACCAGACUCCUACGGGAGGCAGCAGUGAGGAAUAUUGGUCAAUGGGCGCGAGCCUGAACCAGCCAAGUCGCGUGAGGGAUGACGGCCCUACGGGUUGUAAACCUCUUUUGUCGGGGAGCAAAUUCCGCCACGUGUGGCGGAGUCGAGAGUACCCGAAGAAAAAGCAUCGGCUAACUCCGUGCCAGCAGCCGCGGUAAUACGGAGGAUGCGAGCGUUAUCCGGAUUUAUUGGGUUUAAAGGGUGCGUAGGCGGACUGUCAAGUCAGCGGUAAAAUACGGGGGCUCAACCUCCGCCCGCCGUUGAAACUGACGGUCUUGAGUGGGCGAGAAGUAUGCGGAAUGCGUGGUGUAGCGGUGAAAUGCAUAGAUAUCACGCAGAACUCCGAUUGCGAAGGCAGCAUACCGGCGCCCAACUGACGCUGAAGCACGAAAGCGUGGGUAUCGAACAGGAUUAGAUACCCUGGUAGUCCACGCAGUAAAC